RNAcentral lists this ribosomal RNA (860 nucleotides) under Chryseobacterium sp. 845B12. RNAcentral's name for it is "bacterial SSU rRNA". It matches the Rfam family "Bacterial small subunit ribosomal RNA", at positions 569 to 1436 of the family's 1533-position model. Lineage: Bacteria; Pseudomonadati; Bacteroidota; Flavobacteriia; Flavobacteriales; Weeksellaceae. The record is from RNAcentral.
CCGUAGGCGGAUCUGUAAGUCAGUGGUGAAAUCUCACAGCUUAACUGUGAAACUGCCAUUGAUACUGCAGGUCUUGAGUAAAUUUGAAGUGGCUGGAAUAAGUAGUGUAGCGGUGAAAUGCAUAGAUAUUACUUAGAACACCAAUUGCGAAGGCAGGUCACUAAGAUUUAACUGACGCUGAUGGACGAAAGCGUGGGGAGCGAACAGGAUUAGAUACCCUGGUAGUCCACGCCGUAAACGAUGCUAACUCGUUUUUGGGGUUUCGGCUUCAGAGACUAAGCGAAAGUGAUAAGUUAGCCACCUGGGGAGUACGUUCGCAAGAAUGAAACUCAAAGGAAUUGACGGGGGCCCGCACAAGCGGUGGAUUAUGUGGUUUAAUUCGAUGAUACGCGAGGAACCUUACCAAGACUUAAAUGGGAAUUGACAGAUUUAGAAAUAGAUCUUUCUUCGGACAAUUUUCAAGGUGCUGCAUGGUUGUCGUCAGCUCGUGCCGUGAGGUGUUAGGUUAAGUCCUGCAACGAGCGCAACCCCUGUCACUAGUUGCUACCAUUCAGUUGAGGACUCUAGUGAGACUGCCUACGCAAGUAGAGAGGAAGGUGGGGAUGACGUCAAAUCAUCACGGCCCUUACGUCUUGGGCCACACACGUAAUACAAUGGCCGGUACAGAGGGCAGCUACACAGCGAUGUGAUGCAAAUCUCGAAAGCCGGUCUCAGUUCGGAUUGGAGUCUGCAACUCGACUCUAUGAAGCUGGAAUCGCUAGUAAUCGCGCAUCAGCCAUGGCGCGGUGAAUACGUUCCCGGGCCUUGUACACACCGCCCGUCAAGCCAUGGAAGUCUGGGGUACCUGAAGUCGGUGACCG